UUGACCUCCUAUCAUGCAGCAUUACCC
RNAcentral lists this ribosomal RNA (27 nucleotides) under Keratoisis sp. K26597B. RNAcentral describes it as "partial 28S ribosomal RNA". The record is from RNAcentral. Lineage: Eukaryota; Metazoa; Cnidaria; Anthozoa; Scleralcyonacea; Keratoisididae.